UACGAAGGGGACUAGCGUUGUUCGGAUUCACUGGGCAUAAAGGGCGCGUAGGCGGUUCCAUAAGCGGCAUGUGAAAGCCCCCGGCUCAACCGGGGAAGUGCGUGCCGGACUGUGGUUCUAGAGGGUGGUAGGGGGGACUGGAACUCUCGGUGGAGCGGUGAAAUGCGUAGAUAUCGAGAGGAACACCGGUGGCGAAGGCGAGUCCCUGGUCCACUUCUGACGCUGAGGCGCGAAAGCGUGGGUAGCAAACAGG
This 253-nucleotide ribosomal RNA is filed under the name uncultured bacterium. Its description in RNAcentral is "partial 16S ribosomal RNA". It matches the Rfam family "Bacterial small subunit ribosomal RNA", at positions 524 to 776 of the family's 1533-position model. The record is from RNAcentral.